CAGCCGCCACGGUAAUGCGAAGGGGGCUAGCGUUGUUCGGAAUUACUGGGCGUAAAGGGCGCGUAGGCGGCCAUUCAAGUUAGAUGUGAAAGCCCUGGGCUCAACCUAGGAAUUGCAUUUGAUACUGUUUGGCUUGAGUUCGGGAGAGGUGAGUGGAAUUCCCAGUGUAGAGGUGAAAUUCGUAGAUAUUGGGAAGAACACCAGUGGCGAAGGCGGCUCACUGGACCGACACUGACGCUGAGGCGCGAAAGCGUGGGGAGCAAACAGGAUUAGAUACCCGCUAGUCCCUGUCUCUUAUACA
RNAcentral lists this ribosomal RNA (301 nucleotides) under uncultured bacterium. RNAcentral describes it as "partial 16S ribosomal RNA". It matches the Rfam family "Bacterial small subunit ribosomal RNA", at positions 509 to 808 of the family's 1533-position model. The record is from RNAcentral.